CGAAGAAAAGAAAACAAAAAAGGGAAUGAGGCGAAAAUAGUAGGGCAAGAACAAUUGGGCCGAGAAUUUCAGCAGCUUCAAUUCUUCACCACACCUACCGGAAAUCUGCCGUCGCGAUCGUUACACCGCCGUUUCAAACUCAAGGUGGGGGAACGUUUGGGUAAGAAUAGCUUGCUUUCAUGGAUCCAGUGACUGAUGAGCAGUUAGAUUAUGGCGACGAAGAAUAUGCAGGGAAUCAGAAGAUGCAAUUUCAUCAAGGUGGAGCUAUACCUGCACUUGCGGAAGAGGAAAUGCUUGGCGAGGAUGAUGAGUAUGAUGACCUCUAUAAUGAUGUUAAUGUUGGAGAGGGUUUCCUGCAAAUGCAGCGUUCUGAGACACAAGCGCCUCCUGUGGUAGCAAAUAGUGGGUUUCAAAGUUCAAAAGCUAAUGUUCCUGGAGCUCGAGCGGAAGCGGUGGCCUUGCAAGACGUGAACAAUGAAAGAGUUGCUAAUGAAGGAAAUUAUGCUGCUGCUUCAGUUCAAUUUCAAGAUCAGAAGAAUAGCUUGCCAUCCUCUGGGGGCCAGACACAGAUCUUGGAUGCCAGUCAAAGAGGGAGGCUCCCUGAAAUGGGGAAUAAUUCUCAAGCAGCAAAUCUGGGAUAUCAAGGAUCGGAAAGUAUGCCUCAUAAGAUUGCUGCAGAUCGGUUGAACAGUUCAGAAAAAGUAAUUGGUGAGCCUGCACAGUUGAUGUAUCCUAACAUGGGUAACACAAAAGGUGUUCCACAGAUUCCACCUAAUCAGAUGAACUCUAAUGCAAAUGUUAAUGUAAACCGUUCAAUGGAUGACGAAUACAUGGUUAGGCCAUCUGUAGAAAAUGGUAAUACAAUGCUGUUUGUAGGAGAAUUACAUUGGUGGACAACUGAUUCUGAGAUUGAAAGUGUACUGAUUCAGUUUGGGAAAGUCAAGGAGAUUAAGUUUUUUGAUGAAAGGGCUAGUGGUAAGUCCAAAGGUUAUUGCCAAGUUGAAUUUUAUGAUUCUGCUGCAGCCUCGGCAUGUAAGGAAGGUAUGAAUGGUCACAUUUUUAAUGGGAGAGCUUGUGUGGUGGCAUUUGCCACUCCACAGACCAUAAGACAAAUGGGUGCUUCAUACACAAACAAGACACAGGGCCAGGCUCAGUCUCAGCCACAAGGAAGGAAUCCUGUUAAUGAUGCAGCGGGUAGAGGUAAUGGGGCCAAUUAUCCAAGUGGAGACACGGGGAGAAAUUUUGGACGAGGUGGCUGGGCACGAGGGAACCAAGCACCAAACAGGGGUCCUGGAUCAGGUCCUAUGAGAGGAAGAGGGGGUAUGGUAAACAAGAAUAUGAUGGGGAAUGCACCUGGUGCUGGUGGAGGAGCUUACGGACAAGGGAUUGCUGGCCCUGGUUUCAGUGGGCCUCCUGGUAUGAUGCCUCCUCAGGGCAUGAUGGGUCCUGGUUUUGACCUAGCAUUUAUGGGUCGCGGAGCUGGAUAUGGAGGCUUCUCGGGUCCUGGUGGUUUCCCAGGAAUGAUUCCUCCAUUUCAAGCUGUCAAUUCCAUGGGGCUUCCUGGAGUGGCUCCUCAUGUCAACCCAGCUUUUUUUGGUCGAGGAAUGAAUCCCAAUGGAAUGAGCAUGAUGGGGACUGCAGGAAUGGUUGGACCUCAUUCAGGAAUGUGGAAUGACACAAAUAUGGGUGGUUGGGGAGGUGAAGAACAUGGCAGAGAGUCUAGUUAUGGUGGAGAGGAUAAUGCAUCAGAAUAUGGGUAUGCCGAGGCUAGUCAUGAGAAAGGUGUAAGGUCUAGUGCUGCUUCCCGGGAGAAGGAGAGAAAUUCUGAUCAUGACUGGUCCAGUGCUCCAGAGAAGCGGCAUAGGGAGGAGAGAGAACAUGAUGGGGAUAGAUAUGACAGGGACUCUAGACGCAGAGAAGAGAAGGAUCGUUAUCGAGACUAUCGCCACAAAGAUCGUGAAUCGGGUUAUGAUGAUGACUGGGAUAAAGGACAGUCUUCGAGAUCCCGCAGCAGAUCUGGUGCAAUGCCUGAAGAUGAUCACAGGUCUCGAUCUAGGGAUGCUGAUUAUGGGAAACGGAGACGCAUGCCAUCUGAAUGAUGUGAUGUCAUGAGACUUCUGAAUGUCUGACUGCUUCCACUAUGAUUCGCAAUGUCAUACUUGAAUCCUAUGAAGGAUUGCCAGCUCUUUCUUGUUUAUGUUGGUGUCAUGUGCUGUGUGGCCUCCGGCUUCAAUGAAGACCAUUAAUUGCUGCACUCUUGGAUAUCCGUGAAUGCUUUAUACUAUGAGUGCAAAGAAGCCUUAAUCAUGUAUGCAAUUGCUUUGAUCCUCGAAGAAUUUGUGUGAAAAGUAACUUAUUGAGGAAUAUUUUUGAGCAAAACCUGGAUGAUGCACUGUAGUUUCAUUAGUAUAUUCCAUGUAGUAGGUUCCACGUGUAAUAAUUUGAUCUGAUAUCAGCACCUCCGUCCUCUUUAAGAUUGUAAAAGUGAUGUACAAUUUAUAGACCAUGUCUUCUGGUCGUGUAUGAUUAGGUUGUGGUCUUGAGUUGCAACACAUGUAAGCUGCAUCAUAGAUGCAUGUGUAUAGAAAUGUGAAAUGUUGCGGUAGCAGAAUAGUUGUGUGUCUGUAAAUGCAGCUAAUCUCCUGUAAGCUUAGUUGAGCUGUGUCUGUAAAUGCAGUGUAUCUUCUGUAAGCUUAAUUGAGUUGCGUCUGUAAAUGCAGUGUCUCCCCUGUAAGCUUAAUCGUGCCGUGUCUGUAAAUGCAGUGUAUCUCGUGUAAACUUAAUUUUAUGUGAUACCGUCUGUCUUCAUAUUGAGCAGACAUGGUAGUUCUUUUUCUCA
Molecule: RNA transcript, 2839 nt
Organism: Salvia hispanica
Lineage: Eukaryota; Viridiplantae; Streptophyta; Magnoliopsida; Lamiales; Lamiaceae
Source: RefSeq, a predicted model, not a curated record